This 464-nucleotide ribosomal RNA is filed under the name uncultured bacterium. RNAcentral's name for it is "bacterial SSU rRNA". It matches the Rfam family "Bacterial small subunit ribosomal RNA", at positions 339 to 794 of the family's 1533-position model. The record is from RNAcentral.
CUACGGGAGGCAGCAGUAGGGAAUUUUGCGCAAUGGGCGAAAGCCUGACGCAGCAACGCCGCGUGAGUGAUGAAGGCCUUCGGGUCGUAAAGCUCUGUUGAGUGGGAAGAAACUUCUCAUGGAUAACACCCAUGAGGACUGACGGUACCACUUGAGGAAGCCCCGGCUAACUACGUGCCAGCAGCCGCGGUAAUACGUAGGGGGCAAGCGUUGUUCGGAAUCACUGGGCGUAAAGGGAGCGUAGGCGGGAAUCCAAGUUGGGAGUGAAAUUUACAGGCUCAACCUGUGACUUGCUUCCAAUACUGUUUUCCUUGAGUAUGGGAGAGGGCGAUGGAAUUCCAGGUGUAGCGGUGGAAUGCGUAGAUAUCUGGAAGAACACCAGUUGCGAAGGCGGUCGCCUGGCCUAAUACUGACGCUGAGGCUCGAAAGCUAGGGGAGCGAACAGGAUUAGAUACCCCGGUAGC